CUAUCAUGCUGCCUCUGCAACUCAUUUGUCAUAGAGGCAAGUAUGAUACACUUGACAGUUAAAGAAUCAUUUUGCCACAUCCUAUAUGUGGCUUUUUCUUCCUCUAUGGCAUCCUCCCUAACUGGCUCAAUAUCAGGGGUAUCGAGGAUGUAAGAAAGCUUCUCUUGACUAAGUACUAUUUUAAGAUUUCUCAACCAGUCCACAUAGUUGGUACCAGUCAAUUUAUUUAUAUCCAAAAUGGAGCAAAGUGAAAGUGAAGAAGCCAUUAAUCUACAUAAUAAAGAAUAUUACAUAAGCAAACAACUCAAGAUGAUAUGCAUAAUUAAAUUAGGACUUUAAUUUUAUUGUGUCUCCCACUAUUUU
This 363-nucleotide long non-coding RNA is filed under the name Elaeis guineensis (African oil palm). RNAcentral's name for it is "long non-coding RNA (EGUI_LNC072986)". The record is from RNAcentral. Lineage: Eukaryota; Viridiplantae; Streptophyta; Magnoliopsida; Arecales; Arecaceae.